GCUAACGCUGGCGGCGUGUCUUAGCCAUGCAAGUCGAGCGGACUUAUGGGGUAACUUAUAAGUCAGCGGCGGACGGCGGAGUAACACGUAGCUAACCUACCCUCUGGACGGGGAUAACCUACCGAAAGGUGGGCUAAUACCCGAUGUAGUCAUCCUGUAUAGGGGUGAUGAAAGGUGGGCUUCUGUUUACAAGCUCAUGCUGGAGGAGGGGGCUGCGGCCUAUCAGGUAGUUGGUAGGGUAAUAGCCUACCAAGCCGAUGACGGGUAGCCGGCCUGAGAGGGUGACCGGCCCGAGGGGCACUGAGAUACGGUCCAGACUCCUACGGGAGGCAGCAGUGGGGAAUUUUGGACAAUGGGCGCAAGCCUGAUCCAGCAAUGCCGCGUGCAGGAUGAAGGCCUUCGGGUUGUAAACUGCCUUUGUACGGAACGAAAAGGCUCUGGUUAAUACCUGGGGCUCAUGACGGUACCGUAAGAAUAAGCACCGGCUAACUACGUG
This 496-nucleotide ribosomal RNA is filed under the name uncultured bacterium. RNAcentral's name for it is "bacterial SSU rRNA". It matches the Rfam family "Bacterial small subunit ribosomal RNA", at positions 29 to 507 of the family's 1533-position model. The record is from RNAcentral.